This 253-nucleotide ribosomal RNA is filed under the name uncultured bacterium. RNAcentral's name for it is "partial 16S ribosomal RNA". It matches the Rfam family "Bacterial small subunit ribosomal RNA", at positions 524 to 776 of the family's 1533-position model. The record is from RNAcentral.
UACGGAGGGUGCGAGCGUUGUCCGGAAUCACUGGGCGUAAAGGGCGCGUAGGCGGCGCGGGCAGUCAACGGUGAAAGCUCGGAGCUCAACUCCGAGUCGGCCGUCGAUACUCCCGUGCUUGAGCACUGUAGAGGCAGGUGGAAUUCCGGGUGUAGCGGUGGAAUGCGUAGAUAUCAGGAGGAACACCUGUGGUGUAGACAGCUUACUGGACCAUAACUGACGCUGAGGCACGAAAGCGUGGGUAGCAAACAGG